Molecule: long non-coding RNA, 871 nt
Organism: Oncorhynchus keta (chum salmon)
Lineage: Eukaryota; Metazoa; Chordata; Actinopteri; Salmoniformes; Salmonidae
Exons: 4
Source: RefSeq, a predicted model, not a curated record
UACAUCCCAGCUGAUCUAGCCUACAUCCCAGCUGAUCUAGCCUACAUCCCAGAUGAUCAGCUGAUCUAGCCUACAUCACAAGAAAAUGGCUACAUAAAAAAAAGGUGAAUUUGGCUAUAGAAGCAGUAGAAAUGGAAUGAGGUUUAAUUUUUGGGAAUGCUGUUGAAUGGAAUGAGGUUUAAUUUUUGGGAAUGCUGUUGAAUGGAAUGAGGUUUAAUUUUUGGGAAUGCUGUUGAAUGGAAUGAGGUUUAAUUUUGGGGAAUGCUGUUGAAUGGAAUGAGGUUUAAUUUUUGGGAAUGCUGUUGAAUGGAAUGAGGUUUAAUUUUUGGGAAUGCUGUUGAAUGGAAUGAGGUUUAAUUUUUGGGAAUGCUGUUGAAUGGAAUGAGGUUUAAUUUUUGGGAAUGCUGUUGAAUGGAAUGAGGUUUAAUUUUUGGGAAUGCUGUUGAAUGGAAUGAGGUUUAAUUUUUGGGAAUGCUGUUGAAUGGAAUGAGGUUUAAUUUUUGGGAAUGCUGUUGAAUGGAAUGAGGUUUAAUUUUUGGGAAUGCUGUUGAAUGGAAUGAGGUUUAAUUUUUGGGAAUGCUGUUGAAUGGAAUGAGGUUUAAUUUUUGGGAAUGCUGUUGAAUGGAAUGAGGUUUAAUUUUUGGGAAUGCUGUUGAAUGGAAUGAGGUUUAAUUUUUGGGAAUGCUGUUGAAUGGAAUGAGGUUUAAUUUUUGGGAAUGCUGUUGAAUGGAAUGAGGUUUAAUUUUUGGGAAUGCUGUUGAAUGGAAUGAGGUUUAAUUUUUGGGAAUGCUGUUGAAUGGAAUGAGGUUUAAUUUUUGGGAAUGCUGUUGAAUGGAAUGAGGUUUAAUUUUUGGGAAUGCUGUUGAAUGGA